AGGCUGGUCUCAAACUCCUGACCUUGUGAUCCACUGGCCUCGACCUCCAAACAUGCUGGGAUUACAGGCGUAAGCCACCGCGCCUGGCUCAAGUGCUACUUUUAAAGCUAAAAGCCCCACUUAACAUGCUAGCGCACUCUGACGCACUCUCAUAUCCUUGCUUUAUGGAAGGCAACUCUAAUGUCAGUGCUUGCUAAAUACAAAUACAGGACUUUUGCUGUGACUGCCAUGAUUUAGAGCCAGACACUGCAAAUUACAUCCUCCAUCUCUCGUGAGUCCUGUUCUUCCUUCCCAGGACUUUGAUCAGAAAGCGCACCCACUGCUGAGUGCUGAGUGCUGAAGAGAUGGCCUUGGCCCUGGCAUUAGGCAUCCUUGGCUUGAAACUCACUUCUGCUGCUUGUCACCUGUGUGAACUUGAGCAGUUCUGGAGGCUGAAAAGUCCAACAUCAAGGCGCCAGCAGAUUCAUGGUCUGAUAGUUGUCGCUUACCAUUGGAAUACUCAGGAAACUUCAAAAGAAGGUGUGAUCUGAGCUUUCCUGAAAGACAGCUCCACUGAUCACAGCACAUUCGACGGUUGGGUCCAGAGUCCCCUACGUCUGGAAGUUGGAGCAGACCCUCUCACACUCUGGGAGCCCACAUGGAGGCAGGUAAUUGGCAAGGUGAGGGGCGGCAGUGUGUGGGUGGUUUAUUAGAAAGUGAAGCCUGGAGGCAUGUGAAGGAUGGUCAGCGAUGGUAAAGAAAGAGCUGAGAAGAAAGAGCAACCAGGAGGUUCAGGUAAGAGUGCAGGUGAGAGACGAUGAGAACCUGGGUCAGGAUGGCGGCCCCAGGGAUGGAGGGGAGAGACACGGGAGAUGGUGGGAUUGGUGACUGCUGGUACACCAGUGAGCCAGAGGGCGGGUCAGGAUGAAGGCCAGCUCCUGGCUUGGGUGAUGAGCGGCUUGGGAUGCAGUCACCCAACCUAGCCAAGGCUAGAAGUGGAAAGUACUGGGUGUGUGUCGGUUGGGAGCUACCACUUCAUUCAGUCACAAAACCAUGCUUACACGACUCAAGCCUCCAAAUCUCACCGAGGCCUUCCUGCUGAACUUACAAGUCCUUCGUAAAGAAAAAAAAAUUUUUUUUGGUUAUCUGUAACUGUAAUUGUGCCAAAUGUUUAUCUUUUUAAAAAGCUAUGCAGCACCUGUCUCCCUCCCUGCUUCUGGGGCACCCCCCGCAUGAGUGUUAUUGGUGGAACCCCGACCACUGCUCCUCCCUACAGCGGUAAAGGUGGGUUCCUCCCUCCCUUCAUGCUCCAGCUCACGUCCUGGAUUCAACCAUCUGGAUGCUGGGAUGGUUAUGUUAUAUGUCAACUCGGCUAGGCCAUGGUACUUAGAUGUUUGGUUAAGUGCUUAGUCUAGAAAUUACUGUGAAGGUAUUUUUUUAGAUGAGAUUAACAUUUAAAUUGGUUAACUUUAGGCAGAGCAGAUUACUCUCCAUGGUGUGGGUGGGCCUCUUCCUAUCAGCUGAAAACCUCAAGGGAAAGACUGAUGUUCCCCUAAGCAGAGGGAAUUCUGCCAAUAGACAACUUUUAGACUCCAACAGCAUCUCCUCUUCCCUGGGUCUCCAUCCUGUUGGCCUACUUCCUCUCUCUCUUUCUACUGCUGAUUGCCUGUGUUUAUAGGGAGAACCCUAAGACAGAUAUACUCACCAAGUCCUUAAAACCAGCUAGAGGAAUGCAUAGGAGGAGAGAGGACGCAUUCCCAGUAGUUUCAGCAGAGUAAAGGACCAGCACUGAAUACUUUCGUGAGAACACUUUGGGUGGGAGUACUAAGAAUCAGUUUGCCCCCUUCAUAAGUAAAACCAGGACAUAAAAACCAUAAACAAGCUGCUGUCAUUACUGUCAUCCCAGGCAAGUUCCUUAGGCCUCUCCUUGAUUUAGUAAACUCUCAACAACCUUCUAAUGAAUUCUCUCAUUUUUAAAAAAACUUAAAAUAGUCAGAGUUUGGCUGGGCGUGGUGGUUCACGCCUGUAAUACCAGCACUUUGGGAGGCCAAGGGGUGGAUCACUUGAUGU
Long non-coding RNA from Chlorocebus sabaeus (green monkey), 2049 nucleotides. RefSeq lists it as uncharacterized. The record is from RefSeq and is a predicted model, not a curated record. NCBI's taxonomy places the organism in Eukaryota, Metazoa, Chordata, Mammalia, Primates, Cercopithecidae.